Molecule: ribosomal RNA, 492 nt
Filed under: uncultured bacterium
Lineage: Bacteria
Description: partial 16S ribosomal RNA
Rfam family: Bacterial small subunit ribosomal RNA
Source: RNAcentral
GAUGAACGCUAGCUACAGGCUUAACACAUGCAAGUCGAGGGGAAACGACAUCGAAAGCUUGCUUUUGAUGGGCGUCGACCGGCGCACGGGUGAGUAACGCGUAUCCAACCUGCCCAUCACUUGGGGAUAACCUUGCGAAAGUAAGACUAAUACCCAAUGAUAUCUCUAGAAGACAUCUGAAAGAGAUUAAAGAUUUAUCGGUGAUGGAUGGGGAUGCGUCUGAUUAGCUUGUUGGCGGGGUAACGGCCCACCAAGGCAACGAUCAGUAGGGGUUCUGAGAGGAAGGUCCCCCACAUUGGAACUGAGACACGGUCCAAACUCCUACGGGAGGCAGCAGUGAGGAAUAUUAGUCAAUGGGCGAGAGCCUGAACCAGCCAAGUAGCGUGCAGGAAGACGGCCCUAUGGGUUGUAAACUGCUUUUAUAAGGGAAUAAAGUGAGAGUCGUGACUCUUUUUGUAUGUACCUUAUGAAUAAGAACCGGCUAAUUCCGUG